UGGGCGCACGGCGCACGGGUGAGUAACACGUGGGCAAUCUGCCCUCGGAUGGGGGAUAACCCCGCGAAAGCGGGGCUAAUACCGCAUGACAUUCCGGAGACCUCGGUUUCCGGAUUCAAAGCCGAAAGGCGUCUGAGGAGGAGCCCGCGCCCGAUUAGCUAGUUGGUGAGGUAACGGCUCACCAAGGCUUUGAUCGGUAGCCGGUCUGAGAGGACGAUCGGCCACACUGGAACUGAGACACGGUCCAGACUCCUACGGGAGGCAGCAGUGGGGAAUAUUGCGCAAUGGGCGAAAGCCUGACGCAGCGACGCCGCGUGGGGGAUGAAGCUUCUCGGAGUGUAAACCCCUUUCGACCCGGACGAAUGACCCGCAAGGGUUUGACGGUACGGGUAUAAGAAGCCCCGGCUAACUACGUGCCAGCAGCCGCGGUAAUACGUAGGGGGCCAGCGUUGCUCGGAAUUACUGGGCGUAAAGGGUUCGUAGGCGGUGCGGCAAGUUGGGAGUGAAAUCUCUGGGCUCAACCCAGAGGCUGCUUUCAAAACUGCCGUGCUCGAGUGCGGGAGAGGCGAGUGGAAUUGCAGGUGUAGCGGUGAAAUGCGUAGAUAUCUGCAGGAACACCCGUGGCGAAGGCGGCUCGCUGGACCGCAACUGACGCUGAGGAACGAAAGCUAGGGGAGCAAACAGGAUUAGAUACCCUGGUAGUCCUAGCCCUAAACCAUCAGGACUUGGGGUGGCUCGCGUAGGCGGGGUCGUCCCGUAGCUAACGCGUUAAGUCCUGCGCCUGGGGAGUACGGUCGCAAGACUGAAACUCAAAGGAAUUGACGGGGGCCCGCACAAGCGGUGGAACAUGUGGUUCAAUUCGACGCAACGCGAAGAACCUUACCUGGGCU
Molecule: ribosomal RNA, 890 nt
Filed under: uncultured bacterium
Lineage: Bacteria
Description: bacterial SSU rRNA
Rfam family: Bacterial small subunit ribosomal RNA
Source: RNAcentral